Molecule: microRNA precursor, 129 nt
Filed under: Podarcis lilfordi (Lilford's wall lizard)
Lineage: Eukaryota; Metazoa; Chordata; Lepidosauria; Squamata; Lacertidae
Source: RNAcentral
GAGAAGAGCCACUGAGUGGGGAGGAGAGAGGGACAGAGAGCCUGCUUCUUUAAAGGAGCAGUUCCGGUUGGUUCCUUUAAAGCAAGCAGGCUCUCUGUCCCUCUCUCCUCCCCACUCAGCUCGCUAAAU